RNAcentral lists this long non-coding RNA (868 nucleotides) under Eucalyptus grandis. Its description in RNAcentral is "long non-coding RNA (EGRA_LNC000038)". The record is from RNAcentral. Lineage: Eukaryota; Viridiplantae; Streptophyta; Magnoliopsida; Myrtales; Myrtaceae.
GUGGACCUUCUGGGCACAUUUCCAAAACUCGCAUGAUGCUGCUGCUGCUGCACCAUCAUCCGAUCAGAAUGCCCACUUGUAAAGACGCAAAUGCUACUGCUUGGCACGAGGAGAUGAUUCCGUGCUAGCCAAACAUAAAUACACAGGAUUCAUUUCGCACGAAAAGCUUGCACCGAGAACAUGAAUAAGUUCAGCCACGAGCACAUAACACGAGAAUGAACAUGAUGUAAACCCCAAUCUCUUUCAGAUCCAUGAAAAGCACUCAAAUUCAGGGAAAAGAGACCAUUGGAGAAAUUAAAAGAACUACUACCAGCGAAACCCCUUAUUGAAAUCAAAUGCAUUUUUCACUUCAAAACACCAAUCUUUCAUACUUGCGUGUUGCCUCUCGCCAAUUCAAUAAGCCAAUAUAUCCAAACGCAAGAGGACACGACACGACUGCUGAACCUAAAACAUUCAGAGCCAAAGGAAGAAGCAUUGAUCCCGCCCGCUCACUGUCGAACCUAAAAACAUUCACGAUGCAGGUUUCGCGCCCUCAAAAAUUCGUCAAAUCGAGCCAAGCCCACUUCCAAUUCUCGAGCAAUGUAGCCGAAUUCGUCGAUGAUAGAUUGAUAUACAUUGCGGCCGAUGCAUGACAAUCCUUAGGGGAAGAACAAUACUCCGCAUGCAAUUGAAAGAGAGAGAGCGCGCGAGAGAGAGAGAGAGAGAGGGGUUGCGCGAGGCGAAACCUGGUUGUAAGAGGAAGCGACGGCGGGGACAGUGAACCCAAAAGCUAACCUCCAGCGGCGGCGGCGCGCGACGGUUGCUCGGCGGUGAAGGGGCGGCGAAGCCGAAGGCUGGAGGACUUGUCCGGUAGUCUCUGUCAAGAGCA